GCUGGUAGCCCAGGUAGCAACAUUGCCUAGCUGUGAGGUUUCUUGGAACAUUCUGGAGAUCCUUUUGCAGAAUCCUCCAAAAUUUGAGCUUACUUUUGGGUCCAAAGGAACUAAUCUGGGGGGAACUGACAGCAUUACCUCCCCACCAGCAGCAUCUGUCUCCUGCUCUGAGAUAUCGAGAAUGAGGCACAGAGAGGAGUAGUGACUUACGCAAGGUCACCCAUCACGCAGAAUGUGUAUCUGGAUCAGACGACCUCCAUUCAGUCACAAGCCUGCAAUAAGAUCAGUCAGCACGAAAUGGCUACACUUAAUCACAAGAAAUGCUGGUUAAAAAACUUUCAACUGUUUUUCGUCCGAAAAAAGCUGUUUC
Alligator sinensis (Chinese alligator) is the source of this 370-nucleotide long non-coding RNA. RefSeq lists it as uncharacterized. The record is from RefSeq and is a predicted model, not a curated record. Lineage: Eukaryota; Metazoa; Chordata; Crocodylia; Alligatoridae. The transcript has 4 exons.